This 502-nucleotide ribosomal RNA is filed under the name uncultured bacterium. RNAcentral describes it as "partial 16S ribosomal RNA". It matches the Rfam family "Bacterial small subunit ribosomal RNA", at positions 28 to 507 of the family's 1533-position model. The record is from RNAcentral.
GACGAACGCUGGCGGCGUGCCUAAUACAUGCAAGUCGAACGGACCGCGACUGAGUGCUUGCACUUGGUCAAGGUGAGUGGCGAACGGGUGAGUAACACGUGGGUAACCUACCUCAUAGUGGGGGAUAACAGUCGGAAACGACUGCUAAUACCGCAUAGGACAUGGAAUCACAUGAUUCUGUGAGGAAAGGUGGCGCAAGCUAUCGCUAGGAGAUGGACCCGCGGUGCAUUAGCUAGUUGGUAGGGUAAGGGCCUACCAAGGCGAUGAUGCAUAGCCGACCUGAGAGGGUGAUCGGCCACAUUGGGACUGAGACACGGACCAAACUCCUACGGGAGGCAGCAGUAGGGAAUCUUCCGCAAUGGACGCAAGUCUGACGGAGCAACGCCGAGUGAGUGAAGAAGGUCUUCGGAUCGUAAAGCUCUGUUGUUAGAGAAGAACAGCGCAUAGAGUAACUGUUAUGCGUGUGACGGUAUCUAACCAGAAAGCAACGGCUAACUACGUG